UGCCAGACUCCUACGGGAGGCAGCAGUGGGGAAUAUUGCACAAUGGGGGAAACCCUGAUGCAGCAACGCCGCGUGAGUGAAGAAGUAUUUCGGUAUGUAAAGCUCUCUCAGCAGGGAAGAAAAUGACGGUACCUGACUAAGAAGCCCCGGCUAACUACGUGCCAGCAGCCGCGGUAAUACGUAGGGGGCAAGCGUUAUCCGGAUUUACUGGGUGUAAAGGGAGCGUAGACGGCAUGGCAAGUCAGAUGUGAAAGCCCGGGGCUCAACCCCGGGACUGCAUUUGAAACUGUCAGGCUGGAGUGCAGGAGAGGUAAGUGGAAUUCCUAGUGUAGCGGUGAAAUGCGUAGAUAUUAGGAGGAACACCAGUGGCGAAGGCGGCUUACUGGACUGUAACUGACGUUGAGGCUCGAAAGCGUGGGGAGCAAACAGGAUUAGAUACCCGAGUA
Molecule: ribosomal RNA, 446 nt
Filed under: uncultured bacterium
Lineage: Bacteria
Description: bacterial SSU rRNA
Rfam family: Bacterial small subunit ribosomal RNA
Source: RNAcentral